RNAcentral lists this ribosomal RNA (253 nucleotides) under uncultured bacterium. RNAcentral's name for it is "partial 16S ribosomal RNA". It matches the Rfam family "Bacterial small subunit ribosomal RNA", at positions 524 to 776 of the family's 1533-position model. The record is from RNAcentral.
UACGUAGGGUGCGAGCGUUGCCCGGAUUUAUUGGGCGUAAAGGGCGCGUAGGCGGCCACGCACGUCCGUUGUGAAAUCGCCCGGCUCAACUGGGCGGGGUCGGCGGAUACGGCGUGGCUGGAGCAAGCUAGGGGGCAAUGGAAUUCCCGGUGUAGUGGUGGAAUGCGUAGAUAUCGGGAGGAACACCAGUGGCGAAGGCGGUUGCCUGGAGCUUUGCUGACGCUGAGACGCGAAAGCGUGGGGAGCAAACAGG